ACUGAACGCUGGCGGCACGCCUAACACAUGCAAGUCGAGCGGUAGCAUGAUUAGUAGCAAUACUAAUUGAUGACGAGCGGCGGACGGGUGAGUAAUACGUAGGAACCUGCCCUCAAGCGGGGGAUAACUAAGGGAAACUUUAGCUAAUACCGCAUAAUCUCGAGAGAGUAAAGCUGCAGCAAUGUGGCACUUGAGGAGGGGCCUGCGUCAGAUUAGCUAGUUGGUGAGGUAAUAGCUCACCAAGGCGAUGAUCUGUAACUGGUCUGAGAGGACGACCAGUCACACUGGGACUGAGACACGGCCCAGACUCCUACGGGAGGCAGCAGUGGGGAAUAUUGGACAAUGGGGGCAACCCUGAUCCAGCGAUGCCGCGGGGGUGAAGAAGGCCUUCGGGUUGUAAAGCCCUUUAGGUUGGGAAGAAGGUUAGUGGAGGAAAUGCCAUUAAUUUGACGGUACCAACAGAAUAAGCACCGGCAAACUCUGUGCCAGCCGCCGCCGUAA
RNAcentral lists this ribosomal RNA (501 nucleotides) under uncultured bacterium. RNAcentral's name for it is "partial 16S ribosomal RNA". It matches the Rfam family "Bacterial small subunit ribosomal RNA", at positions 30 to 523 of the family's 1533-position model. The record is from RNAcentral.